This 1959-nucleotide long non-coding RNA is filed under the name Mus musculus (house mouse). RNAcentral describes it as "long non-coding RNA chr2:65765458-65767417". Lineage: Eukaryota; Metazoa; Chordata; Mammalia; Rodentia; Muridae. The record is from RNAcentral.
GUAUACUUCUCAUUUCAGGAUGUUUUUAGAUUUUUUGAGGUGCUUAAAUAGCUAUUCAUAUUUUUAAGGUGUUUCAUCCAGAAGAAUUUUAAUGUGCCUGUAAAUGUUCCAUAGAGUCACAACCAUCAAAGAGUUGUUUUAUUUUUACAUAGUUCAUUAUAUGUACAUGUAUAUAUGUAUAUAUGUAUAUGGCCGUGUAUAUACAUAUAUAUGUAUACACACAUGCAUACAUAUGCACACACAGACCAUCACAUGCUCAGAGUCCAGGCAGCAUGACUAUAACAUUUUUUGAUAAGUGUCCUUUGGUAAAAAAAAAAAAAAAGUAUAUAUAUAUAUAUAUCCUCUCAGUCCUUUCUAAGAAACCCAAACUACCAAAAACCAUCCCCACAGCCACUUUCUGAAGUUGGUUCUGCUUUUUUUCCUGCAGUAUUGUUUAGCCAUCUUCUGCUCUUGGUAAGGUUGACAUAGUGUAUGUCAAUUAAAACAAAACAAAACAAAACAAAAGUCUGCUUUGUAAAUAGUAAUUUUACCCAGUGGUGCAUGUUUGAGCCAACGAAAAUGAUUUAAGCACAGUAUUUACUGCAUCAAAUAUGUACCACAGUUAAGUAUAGUUUGCAAGCUUUCAACAGGUGACAUGACGUCAUUGGUUCCCUUAGAGUUUGAAGCUGUCACUGCUGCAUGUCUCUCUUGCUGCUGCUGCUGUAUCUUAACCCUUCUGCUGUUCAGAAGUCUAAUAGGGAAGCCAUAUGUCAGAGGUGGAGUGAAGUGGAUUGUUCCAUCAGGAACUCAAUCUUCACGACACUGAGCAAUGUGUUGCAGUAAACAAGGAAGAAAUCCCUGCUCUUUGUUCUCCCUACCCUUAAUUGAACACUCCGGUGAGAUGUCUGACAGUGUAAACAAGUGGCAAGCUACUUAGAUCUGUUGAAGGUAUAUGGUUAGAGUUUUCUAAGAAAUAUACAUAUUGUAAAAAAAAAUGGGGGGAGUUCAGUUUAUUUUAUUUCGAAGCCUUUUGUACAUAAAAUGGGAAAUUAAAAGUAUCUUCAGGUUGAUGUCACAGUCCUAUCAUUAGUUUCUGUUCCCGGCACUUUUUAAUUAAGGCACUCCGCCAAGGAAGAGAGAGAUAAGGCCUAAGAGGCAGUACAGGGCUCUGCUGUCAUUGUUGGUACUGUGGACUUGCACAUAUUUCCACUUGAAACAAUUCUCAUUCCAAGUCUAAUGUCCAUUUGCUUUCAAUAGUGAUGCCUUAUCAUUGACAAGAGAUUUCAAGGGGAGCAGAUGAUAGAUACUCUAGGCAUUAUCUGAGUGGGAUGUACUCACCUAGCCUUCCCCUCCAUUCAUCCAUCUUCUUAAUGUUCGUUUAUACAGAUAGAUGGAUAGAUAGAAUCUUACUGACCCACAUGGCACUAGAGCUGUAUCAGAUAUGAUUUGGGAACCAAGUUUUCUUCUCUCUCUCUCUCUCUCUCUCUCUCUCUCUCUCUCUCUCUCUCUCUCUCUCUCUCUCUCUUUCUCUCACUGUUUUCCACCAAACCAGUUAGUGAAAUGAUCUUGCCAAUCACAAACGUUUUGUUUCACAAAAACAACCUUCAUUGUAGAUCCUUUAUACUAAAGCUGUUGAUUUGUAGUGUGUUGAAUGCAUGCGGGAAAAUGCUAUGACCAUACAGAGCUACCGGUAAGCCACAUUACAAUCAAGCCAAAAGAAUAAAGAUUUUUUUUUUUGCUUUUGUUUCUGUAUUUAUUGUUUUGUCUGUGUUUCUAUCCUCGAGAUGCCAGUUAGAGGUAAAUUUCUAUCGUGUAAAAAUGAUCUAUCUGAAAAUUUUAAAUGUAAAAAGUACGCAUUAAGUAUAAUAAUUCAUCUUUAAAUUUUUCAUGGAAUGGAAACUGAGAAGAAUGUAUUGGAUAUCUAGUUUUAAUAUUGGCCAAAAUCCACAGAUAUGGUACCAGGUAGAGUAGUGGAAAGUU